AAUUCAAUGAUUUCAACUUCACCGCUGACCAGCCACGUCUCACCGCCUUGGAGAGAUUGACCCUCCUUCCUAAUCUCCUCCAGCCAGAGCCUCUGCUAAUAAAUCU
Small nucleolar RNA from Drosophila suzukii, 106 nucleotides. RefSeq annotates it as small nucleolar RNA snoM1. NCBI's taxonomy places the organism in Eukaryota, Metazoa, Arthropoda, Insecta, Diptera, Drosophilidae. The record is from RefSeq and is a predicted model, not a curated record.